This 503-nucleotide ribosomal RNA is filed under the name uncultured bacterium. Its description in RNAcentral is "partial 16S ribosomal RNA". It matches the Rfam family "Bacterial small subunit ribosomal RNA", at positions 30 to 523 of the family's 1533-position model. The record is from RNAcentral.
AUUGAACGCUGGCGGCAGGCUUAACACAUGCAAGUCGAGCGGGGUGAUGGUGCUUGCACUAUCACUUAGCGGCGGACGGGUGAGUAAUGCUUAGGAAUCUGCCUAUUAGUGGGGGACAACAUCUCGAAAGGGAUGCUAAUACCGCAUACGUCCUACGGGAGAAAGCAGGGGAUCACUUGUGACCUUGCGCUAAUAGAUGAGCCUAAGUCGGAUUAGCUAGUUGGUGGGGUAAAGGCCUACCAAGGCGACGAUCUGUAGCGGGGCUGAGAGGAUUAACCGCCACAACUGGAAUGGGGCACGGCCCAGAAUCCUUCGGGGGGCAACAGGUGGGAAUAUUUGACAAUGGGGGGAAACCUGAUCCAGCCAUGCCGCGUGGGUGAAGAAGGCCUUAUGGUUGUAAAGCACUUUAAGCGAGGAGGAGGCUCUUUUGGUUAAUACCCAAGAUGAGUGGACGUUACUCGCAGAAUAAGCACCGUCUAACUCUGUGCCAGCCGCCGCAGUAA